RNAcentral lists this ribosomal RNA (254 nucleotides) under uncultured prokaryote. RNAcentral describes it as "partial 16S ribosomal RNA". It matches the Rfam family "Bacterial small subunit ribosomal RNA", at positions 522 to 775 of the family's 1533-position model. The record is from RNAcentral.
AAUACAGAGGGUGCGAGCGUUGUUCGGAAUUAUUGGGCGUAAAGCGCGUGUAGGCGGGAUGGCAAGUCGGGUGUGAAAGCCCUCAGCUCAACUGAGGAAGUGCGCCCGAAACUACUGUUCUUGAGUGUCGGAGAGGGUGGCGGAAUUCCCGGUGUAGAGGUGAAAUUCGUAGAUAUCGGGAGGAACACCAGAGGCGAAGGCGGCCACCUGGACGAACACUGACGCUGAGACGCGAAAGCGUGGGGAGCAAACAG